CUCAAAUCGAUUGCACUCAAUAUGAAACACGCACACGCGCAAACAUUGCAAAUUUUAUGUUACAUAUGCACCACUCAUCAUGCAAGGGGAAUUGCUGCCCAAAGAAGCAAAAGAAGAACGAUGCAAAUAUUUAAGGAUUCAUGAUAGACCUAGCCAGACGGGAAGGCAGCUGACAAGAACGCCUCAUCCUCCAUGAAAAUUUGCAGAUUCUUGGACUUCAUCAAGUAUUGAACAGCUGCUUCAUCGAAAUUCAGC
This 255-nucleotide unclassified non-coding RNA is filed under the name Hevea brasiliensis (rubber tree). Lineage: Eukaryota; Viridiplantae; Streptophyta; Magnoliopsida; Malpighiales; Euphorbiaceae. The record is from RNAcentral.